Molecule: non-coding RNA, 328 nt
Organism: Homo sapiens (human)
Lineage: Eukaryota; Metazoa; Chordata; Mammalia; Primates; Hominidae
Source: the annotation of a RefSeq genome assembly
AUGGUCCUGAAAUUCUCCGUGUCCAUUCUUUGGAUUCAGUUGGCAUGGGUGAGCACCCAGCUGCUGGAGCAGAGCCCUCAGUUUCUAAGCAUCCAAGAGGGAGAAAAUCUCACUGUGUACUGCAACUCCUCAAGUGUUUUUUCCAGCUUACAAUGGUACAGACAGGAGCCUGGGGAAGGUCCUGUCCUCCUGGUGACAGUAGUUACGGGUGGAGAAGUGAAGAAGCUGAAGAGACUAACCUUUCAGUUUGGUGAUGCAAGAAAGGACAGUUCUCUCCACAUCACUGCAGCCCAGACUGGUGAUACAGGCCUCUACCUCUGUGCAGGAG